CCUACGGUAGGCAGCAGUGAGGAAUAUUGGUCAAUGGACGAGAGUCUGAACCAGCCAAGUAGCGUGAAGGAUGACUGCCCUAUGGGUUGUAAACUUCUUUUAUAAAGGAAUAAAACGAGGCACGUGUGCCUUUUUGCAUGUACUUUAUGAAUAAGGAUCGGCUAACUCCGUGCCAGCAGCCGCGGUAAUACGGAGGAUCCGCGCGUUAUCCGGAUUUAUUGGGUUUAAAGGGAGCGUAGAUGGGUUGUUAAGUCAGUUGUGAAAGUUUUCGGCUCAACCGUAAAAUUGCAAUUGAUACUGGCAGUCUUGAGUACAGUUGAGGUAGGAGGAAUUCGUGGUGUAGCGGUGAAAUGCUUAGAUAUCACGAAGAACCCCGAUUGCGAAGGCAGCUUACUAAACUGUGACUGACAUUGAUGCUCGAAAGUGUGGGUAUCAAACAGGAUUAGAUACCCGGGUAGUC
Molecule: ribosomal RNA, 460 nt
Filed under: uncultured bacterium
Lineage: Bacteria
Description: partial 16S ribosomal RNA
Rfam family: Bacterial small subunit ribosomal RNA
Source: RNAcentral